Molecule: transfer RNA, 67 nt
Filed under: Ephedra sinica (Chinese ephedra)
Lineage: Eukaryota; Viridiplantae; Streptophyta; Gnetopsida; Ephedrales; Ephedraceae
Description: partial tRNA-Thr
Rfam family: tRNA
About the family: Transfer RNA (tRNA) molecules are approximately 80 nucleotides in length. Their secondary structure includes four short double-helical elements and three loops (D, anti-codon, and T loops). Further hydrogen bonds mediate the characteristic L-shaped molecular structure. tRNAs have two regions of fundamental functional importance: the anti-codon, which is responsible for specific mRNA codon recognition, and the 3' end, to which the tRNAs corresponding amino acid is attached (by aminoacyl-tRNA synthetases). tRNAs cope with the degeneracy of the genetic code in two manners: having more than one tRNA (with a specific anti-codon) for a particular amino acid; and 'wobble' base-pairing, i.e. permitting non-standard base-pairing at the 3rd anti-codon position.
Source: RNAcentral
UUUUACUCAGUGGUAGAGUAAAGCCAUGGUAAGGCGUAAGUCAUCGGUUCAAAUCCGAUAAUGGACU